GCCUGGUGGCCUGAGCGGUGUGCCCAGAACCCGAUCCCAUCUCGAACUCGGCCGUUAAACACACCAGCGCCCAUGGUACUGUGUCUCAAGACACGGGAGAGUCGGUCGCCGCCAGGCCUGC
This 121-nucleotide ribosomal RNA is filed under the name Methylorubrum extorquens AM1. The record is from RNAcentral. Lineage: Bacteria; Pseudomonadati; Pseudomonadota; Alphaproteobacteria; Hyphomicrobiales; Methylobacteriaceae.